RNAcentral lists this long non-coding RNA (1599 nucleotides) under Androctonus crassicauda. The record is from RNAcentral. Lineage: Eukaryota; Metazoa; Arthropoda; Arachnida; Scorpiones; Buthidae.
ACUCUUGACUUUACAAACUCAUAUGGACUCCCAAAAAAGUUCAUAAAUCAAAAGUUUGUAAAUGGAAAUGGCAUUAAUUAACAUUGUAGACAUUUUGGGACCAAUUAAAUACUUCAUAAAAAUGUGUUGUUUUUAAAUUGGAAGUUUGUAAAACAUGAGUCCGCUGUAUAUAGCAAUUUGCAUUUUAAGAUAGGAUGGCCAUCUACCGCAAUUUUUAUGGGACAGUUCCAAAACUAGGUUGAAAUAUCUUGCAAUCAACCAAAUGAACUCUUUCUUUAUAAAUCUAAAUGACAACACUAUCUUACUACUGCUGCCAGUAAUGUACUGGUAAAUUUUUGAACUGGCUUGCUGAAAAACAUCUUCAUAUUUACCUAUAUAAAUUUAUAAAUUUUACUGAUACAAGAAAAUAGAACACAAAAUUUUCACAUAAUAUAAAAUAUUUAAUAUUCUUUAUUGCAAAUUUCAAUUGAUUCUCACAGAAUACUUUCAUUGAUUUUUGCUGAACUCUUAUGUCUAUAGUUGAACUAUUGUUGUAAUUAACAAUCACAGGUUGGUAGACAAACACAAGUUCCAAUAAAUUGCAAGUUGCAGUCAAAAAAGUGCUGCAGUUUGCAAUUUAUUGGAAUAAAACUUACAAAAACACUGAUUUACUUAGUCACCAUAUUCAAAUGCCACUCAACAAUCACUGAUGAUUUAUAAUGCAACUAUUGAGUGGAUGCACCUUUUUCAGAACAUGAAUAGGCAUGCAGUGUUUGAUUGCAAACUUUAUUUGCAAAGAAACAGUGAAAUUAUGCAUAUAAUUGUUGUUAUGUGUUUGCAAGAUCGAUUGCAUCAAACACUUCAGCUUUCCAUCCUGAAGGACCCAGCUUCAGUUCUGGGUUCCAUCCCUUGGAAAAUUUAUUCAUGGGGUCAAUGUCCCAGACCAUUAAUCCACAUCUACCACAAUCUAGAGGAUUUCUCAGCAAGAGUGGUCAUCUUGUGGUAAGACUCUAUUUUGCACUGCCAUUUAGUAUUCUACAGAGUAAUAAGUGGCAUCAUCUGUUAAUAAAAAAAAUAGUAAUUCUACUUAACAACUGGCUCGCAAAAUUCAUGAAAAUUUAACAAAUAACUUGUGAGACUGCAGUCAGUGAUAUGCUGGAGCUAAUACAUCACUACAGUAUUGCAAUGUUAUUAUUAUUAUUUUACAUUUGGUGAUAAUGAACACACUAAAAUUAAUCUUGCUAUAGUUGUAAGCUAAAUUUUACAGAUAUAUUUUUUAGUUAUAUAAUCAUUUGAAAUUUAAGAGAAAGAUUGUGAGAUAUCUGAUAAAAUGAAAGUUUGAUGUUUGAUUAUUGACAAAAUGCAAUAAUACAUUUAACUUUUUGUAUUAUAUGGUCAAAUGUAUAUAUAUUUUGUUAUUUGUUUACCAUAGGGUAAUAUGUAAUAGAGAGAGAGGGUGCCUGAGGGCAAUAAAAAAAACACUUCUUUACUAGAACAGCUAGAGUCUGGUUGUGUGUGCCUGUGUGCUAGUCCUUUACCAUACAAACAAUACAUGGUGGCAGUGGAAAAAACUGACUGAAACAAUUGGAGAAUCAGGCGUAUCUUAUUGACUGUUAAGUA